GACGAACGCUGGCGGCGUGCUUAACACAUGCAAGUCGAACGGAAAGGCCCUGCUUUUGUAGGGUGCUCGAGUGGCGAACGGGUGAGUAACACGUGAGUAACCUGCCCUUGACUUUGGGAUAACUUCAGGAAACUGGGGCUAAUACCGGAUAGGAGCUCCUGCUGCAUGGUGGGGGUUGGAAAGUUUCGGCGGUUGGGGAUGGACUCGCGGCUUAUCAGCUUGUUGGUGGGGUAGUGGCUUACCAAGGCUUUGACGGGUAGCCGGCCUGAGAGGGUGACCGGCCACAUUGGGACUGAGAUACGGCCCAGACUCCUACGGGAGGCAGCAGUGGGGAAUAUUGCUCAAUGGGCGGAAGCCUGAUGCAGCAACGCCGCGUGCGGGAUGACGGCCUUCGGGUUGUAAACCGCUUUCGCCUGUGACGAAGCGUGAGUGACGGUAAUGGGUAAAGAAGCACCGGCUAACUACGUG
This 468-nucleotide ribosomal RNA is filed under the name uncultured bacterium. RNAcentral's name for it is "partial 16S ribosomal RNA". It matches the Rfam family "Bacterial small subunit ribosomal RNA", at positions 28 to 507 of the family's 1533-position model. The record is from RNAcentral.